This 253-nucleotide ribosomal RNA is filed under the name uncultured bacterium. Its description in RNAcentral is "partial 16S ribosomal RNA". It matches the Rfam family "Bacterial small subunit ribosomal RNA", at positions 524 to 776 of the family's 1533-position model. The record is from RNAcentral.
UACGUAGGGUGCGAGCGUUAAUCGGAAUUACUGGGCGUAAAGCGUGCGUAGGCGGUUCGUUAAGUUCGUUGUGAAAGCCCCGGGCUCAACCUGGGAACUGCAAUGGAAACUGGCGGGCUUGAGUGUGGCAGAGGGGGGUGGAAUUCCGCGUGUAGCAGUGAAAUGCGUAGAUAUGCGGAGGAACACCGAUGGCGAAGGCAAUCCCCUGGGCCUGCACUGACGCUCAUGCACGAAAGCGUGGGGAGCAAACAGG